UGGGGAAUAUUGCGCAAUGGGGGAAACCCUGACGCAGCAAUGCCGCGUGAGUGAAGAAGGCCCUAGGGUUGUAAAGCUCUUUCAGAUGGGAAGAUGAUGACUGUACCAUCAGAAGAAGCCCCGGCUAACUUCGUGCCAGCAGCCGCGGUAAUACGAAGGGGGCUAGCGUUGUUCGGAAUCACUGGGCGUAAAGCGUACGCAGGCGGAUAUUUAAGUCAGAAGUGAAAGCCCAGGGCUCAACCUUGGAAUUGCUUUUGAUACUGAAUAUCUAGAAUCCGGGAGAGGAGUGUGGAAUUCCUAGUGUAGAGGUGAAAUUCGUAGAUAUUAGGAGGAACACCAGUGGCGAAAGCGACACUCUGGAACGUGAUUGACGCUCAUGUACGAAAGCGUGGGGAGCAAACAGGAUUAGAUACCCCCGUAGUCC
This 424-nucleotide ribosomal RNA is filed under the name uncultured prokaryote. RNAcentral describes it as "bacterial SSU rRNA". It matches the Rfam family "Bacterial small subunit ribosomal RNA", at positions 355 to 796 of the family's 1533-position model. The record is from RNAcentral.